Small nuclear RNA from Pipistrellus kuhlii (Kuhl's pipistrelle), 104 nucleotides. NCBI's taxonomy places the organism in Eukaryota, Metazoa, Chordata, Mammalia, Chiroptera, Vespertilionidae. The record is from RefSeq and is a predicted model, not a curated record.
GUGCUUGCAUUGGCAGCAUAUAUAUUAAAAUUGGAAUGAUACAGAGAUUAGUAUGGCCCCUGUGCAAGGAUGACACGCAAAUUCAUGGAGCAUUCCAUAUUUAA